GGAAGAACAACGCUGGUUAUUGCUCACAGGUUGAGCACAGUUCAGAAUGCAAACCAAAUUGCCCUCUGUUCUAAUGGGAAGAUUGCGGAGUUAGGGACGCAUUCGGAGCUGUUAAGUAGGAGAGGCCAAUAUGCUUCUCUUGUUGGCACCCAGAGACUUGCAUUUGAAUGAUAGUGAAAUAGCAAGAAUCAAACCCUUGCCAUCUCAAACUGCAGAGCCCGUGAUUAUGUGAGUCUUUGGAAGAACCUUCAAAAAUAUAUUCUUUUUCCUUUAGGCUUUAACAAGCACACUCUUCUGGGGGUUUUGGUUUUUUGGUUGGGGGGGUUGUGUGAUUUAAAGGAUGAGAAUGUAAGUGAGAAGUUCCGGGUUCAAGCCUUUCCACUUGCAUUACUUUAAAUAUAAAAAAAAAAAAGCACUCUCUUCUAAAAGCACUUAAUUGCUUUGGUUAAUGGGAAUUUGUUCUGCUAUCUUUAACCAUUGGUUGCAUCUUAUCAAGCAGAGGAUGAGUUAAAGAUUAGAAUAGCUAUGUGAAAUAAAAUUCACAAGCACGGUCAAUAUAGAAUUCAUUCCAUGCUCGAUGCAGUAAUGAUAUAUGGAUUUUUUUUCCCGGCGGCAACUUGUCAGUUCUGUGCACAAUUACGUCUAAUUACUACUUUCGAUAUUGGACAGCUAAUAUUCACAAUCUUGCUUUAUUUAUAAUAGCUGUUUGGAGAUUUUGGAUGACAAGAGGAUUUUGAUGCCUACAUAAACGAGUAUAGCUAAUGCCCAUGAAUUUGGUUGGUGGGCAAUUGAAAUAUGAAUAUUUUAUCACUUCAGAUCAAGUCUGAAUACUUUGCUCGACACAGCUGCGACCAUUCUAAAAUUGGGCCAAAACAAAAACAAAAACCUUUCUGCAAGUCAUCCUGCAUUGUUUCUCCGGCAAAGCUACAAUAAUGUUUUGAUCUUAGGCGAAUAGGUGGAGAGCCUUAUUUGUGUUGAUUAUUGUUUAUUUAGUGGAAACUGAGAUGAUAGCGUUCAACUCGGCAAAGCAUUCAGUCGGAAGGCCAAGGAAUGAAUUCAUAAAGAAGUCGUCAAUCGGUUGAACCAUGGCCACUCCAACUAGCCGGCAUCUUCCUCCUCCGUUUAAGCGCUCACCUCUUCCACUUCUGAUUGUUCCUUCUGACUCUUCAGAUGUUAACACAGUCCCUACCAGCAAAGGUGGAGCUCUAUAAAGCUUCCCAACUGAAAACCAGAAGCUAGCUUUGAACUCAAGCUCCACCUUCAGAAGAACAGCACCAAGUAAUUCUCAGGAAACUACCGAAUUAUAAUACAAAAAAGGAAAGCAAUAGAAGCAGAGGGUCAUAGAAGACUACCUUGCCCGUUUCUUGAUUGAUGCUUCCCCGUAAUAUCUCUGGAGCAAUAUCAAUCCUGAGAAAAGGUGGCAAUGGCAGUCCCAUGAAUCUAGUUGUUGCAGUUGUGAGUGGUGGAAUAUAGAGGGUAUUCAAGUCGAAGUCAACAAAAAUGUCUCCAUCGGAUUCAUUGGAGUCGGUAUUUCUAUUUGUGCCCAUCCCACUACCGCUGCCCCGCUCCGCGUUGUACUCGAAGUCGGGAUAUACGGAGAUACCGAGUUUGCAAGAUGCCAGCGUCUCAAAUUUGAUGUUAUACACGUCCCUUCUUGGUACUUUUGAUUCAGUGAGCUGGGGGGCAGGAAUUGGUUGUUGUCUAUCUAGGUUCUUUUGGGAGGCGACCACAGUUGUCUUGUGUAUUCUAGAUUUUGGUAGAACUAAGGAUGAACUUGAAUAAUUAGGCUUAUGUCGUGGGGAAGUUCUGCAUGUAAGUUGAGGACCUGAGGGGUGAAUUUGACACUCCAUUUGUUUGAACCCUGGUAGAUUGUUGAGCUCUAUAGAGCGGAUGGUGAUGGCGAUGAAGAAAUUACUCUACAGAGCGGAAAGGGAGUUCAUGUGUAAAGCUUAUUUUCUUCUUCUUCCUUUUUUUUUUAUAAAUGAUAUGAUUCCAGAAAAUUAAGAAACAAUUCUGGGGCCGAGGACUUGAUGGAAGCGCAAGGACACCAGCAAUGCACGAGGCUGAUUCUAGUCCACUGACUUGGGAGGAGAUCUUAUCUUUCCGCUUCCGCCCCAAAGAAACGGCAAAGGCAGGAGUGGGACCUUCUUGUUUAUUUGAGGUGAAAAUCAACCGCUCAGAUUCCAGUUUUCAGGAAAAGAACAAGAAAUUCUGAACCCUUUAAUUCUACGUCGCGACACCGGCCCCGUGAAUGCUUGAAACUUCAAUUAGUCCUUGCUCCUUCAACAGAUAGUACAUAACAGAGAGCAAGCAAAUGAGGAAUGUCUCAUUGCUGCUUGUACCUGUCCUGUCCAGCGUAAGCAAAUCAGGAAUUUCUCGUUGCUGCCUACGCUUUCUGGUCGAAAUCAUUUAUUUAACGACAUUGCGGGUUUUUUCCAUCAUAGUUUUCUUGCUCUGUCUCCCAGAAUGGACCCAGUACUGGUUUUGUAGUGGAUGGUGGAUGGCUUGUAUAUUGUCUUUUUCUAGGGCGAAAGAGUGCGAGACUGAUAUUAGAUCCAGGGUAUGGGAGAGGAUCAGAGGAAGAAGAAGGCACAGGAGCUUUCAUGUCUCAAAUCUCUAUUCUCUGACCCUACGAGCACUUCAGUAUUCUGAAGAAAUCCCACUUGACUCACUGGUCCGGCACCAGUAGGCAGCCCUCAUUAGUUAUACCAACUUACACGGGUGUGAUGUCAAUUAUGGAUCUCAGCUUUAGUGCUUAUUACGUAUGUGGGUUGCACUUAUGAAAGCAUCCGACAUGCGCUGGUGCAAUCAAUCCUAGAUUCCAACAACACCAACUCAUAUGAUAUGAUGGGACCAGAUCAAGAUGUCUCCCCCAAUCAUUCAAGAUUCCCCUUGGAUUGGAUCACUACUGAAACUAUACCAAACCAAUAUAUCGAGAAUUUUCAGAGCGCACCACCAAUUCAACCAAUUUAAUUAUGCACACACAAAAUCUUCACCCAAGUGCAUACAUACAGUCCCCUUGCCCUUGUCGAUGAUGGUAAGACUGGAGGACUGUUGGUGCAUUCACGAGUCACCCCACGAUGAUUGAGGAUCAAAUGAGAUGUUAUGUCGGUGACUGAAUUUGAUUAAAACGACUGCCAUUUUCGGCAUCGAGACAGACAGUUUGCUGUCUUAUUCAUGGACCAUCUUGACUGGCUCUCGCUAGGGUCGAUCCAUCUACCAAUGAGGAAUGAGGAUCCUUCUUGGAGCGGGAUUUCACUACUAGCUUCUUUCCCAAACACCCUAAACUGAACUGAAGAAGGCAGGGCAACACAACACAUUAUGACGCCCAAAUUAACAAAUACUACACAUGAGGGAGGCAGGAAGAAAUACAAGCAGUGGAAAUAAAUACUCGUACAAUUAACAGCAAGCGCAACGCUCAGUUUCAUACAAACUUGUGUACUGACUAUUUUAUGAGUUAGGAAAGCUCGUGCAAACUCGUAGACCAUCUCAAACCAGAAUCAGAAUCACGUGGUGUAUUAGUAUUUACAACACGAAUGCUUCUUCGUCUCUCUCUCUUUUUUCUCCUCCCCCCACACCCCCCCCCCGCCCCACCAAAAACAACACAAUAAAACCCAUCUGCAGUUAUCUCUUGUUAUAUUUUUGUACCCAAUUUUCUACAGGAGCCUGUCCUUUUUUCCGUGUCUGUUGGUGAUAAUAUUGCUUAUGGCCUCCCAGAUGAUUAUGUAUCAAAGGAUGAUGUGAUAAAGGCAGCCAAAGCUGCAAAUGCUCAUGAUUUUAUAAUUUCAUUGCCACAGGUUGUCAUUUCGAAUAUGCUUGUUAUCUGUAUAAUUUUGCACAGUUUGUUUAGGUAUUAAAUAUUGAUGCAAUGGACAGGGUUACGACACUCUAGUUGGUGAGCGAGGGGGUCUGCUAAGUGGAGGGCAGAGGCAGGUAAUUAAAAGAUGGUUUGGUGUAUGCUUAUGGUUUGAGAGUUGUUUUACUGAAUACCCCUCACCAAAUUUGCAGAGAAUUGCCAUUGCAAGGGCUCUCCUUAAGAAUGCCCCAGUCCUUAUCCUUGAUGAGGUAUGCUUCUAGGCCAAUCCUAAUGCAUUGUGUGUUGUGUUUUACUUAAGGUAUAGAAAACAGAUACUCAUCCCCCAAGGCCAGUUAACAAACUAAUAUUGGGACAUCUAAGGGUCUGUAUGCCCGAAAGAGAAAGUUGAUCCACCAUAACUUGGGAUCUCAGGGGCUUAAUAUGCAGGAAGACUCAAUUUUUGUAUAUUUGAGAAACCAUAUGCUAGGAUUCCCAGGGCCUCGCAGUCAAAAGAACCUUAUCCAUUGGUUUGCUAUUGCUCAGAAUGGUAAAGGGCUCUUUCAUUUUGAUUGGGAAGUAACUUGGCCUGGAUUGUUAGAUACAUUGCAUUAUCAGCUGCAUUUCAGAUUUAAAGAUAGACAGUUUUACUCUGAACUAUUAACUCUACCUUGUGCUGAAUAAAUCAGUUUAUGCUUAUGCACUGCAGGCUACUAGUGCUUUAGACACAGUUAGUGAGCGCCUCGUCCAGAGUGCUCUGAACCGUCUGAUGAAGGGAAGAACAACGCUGGUUAUUGCUCACAGGUUGAGCACAGUUCAGAAUGCAAACCAAAUUGCCCUCUGUUCUAAUGGGAAGAUUGCGGAGUUAGGGACGCAUUCGGAGCUGUUAAGUAGGAGAGGCCAAUAUGCUUCUCUUGUUGGCACCCAGAGACUUGCAUUUGAAUGAUAGUGAAAUAGCAAUAAUCAAACCCUUGCCAUCUCAAACUGCAGAGCCCGUGAUUAUGUGAGUCUUUGGAAGAACCUUCAAAAAUAUAUUCUUUUUCC
RNAcentral lists this long non-coding RNA (4837 nucleotides) under Coffea arabica (coffee). RNAcentral describes it as "long non-coding RNA (CARA_LNC000868)". Lineage: Eukaryota; Viridiplantae; Streptophyta; Magnoliopsida; Gentianales; Rubiaceae. The record is from RNAcentral.